CAAAGGAGCAAUCCGCUGAAAGAUGGGCUCGCGUCCGAUUAGGUAGUUGGCGGGGCAACGGCCCACCAAGCCGACGAUCGGUAGCCGGACUGAGAGGUUGAACGGCCACAUUGGGACUGAGACACGGCCCAGACUCCUACGGGAGGCAGCAGUGAGGGAUAUUGGUCAAUGGGGGAAACCCUGAACCAGCAACGCCGCGUGAGGGAAGACGGUUUUCGGAUUGUAAACCUCUGUCCUCUGUGAAGAUGAUGACGGUAGCAGAGGAGGAAGCUCCGGCUAACUACGUGCCAGCAGCCGCGGUAAUACGUAGGGAGCAAGCGUUGUCCGGAUUUACUGGGUGUAAAGGGUGCGUAGGCGGCUUUGCAAGUCAGAAGUGAAAUCCAUGGGCUCAACCCAUGAACUGCUUUUGAAACUGCAGAGCUUGAGUGGAGUAGAGGUAGGCGGAAUUCCCGGUGUAGCGGUGAAAUGCGUAGAGAUCGGGAGGAACACCAGUGGCGAAGGCGGCCUGCUGGGCUCUAACUGACGCUGAGGCACGAAAGCGUGGGUAGCAAACAGGAUUAGAUGCCCUGGUAGUCCACGCUGUAAACGAUGAUUACUAGGUGUGGGUGGACUGACCCCAUCC
Molecule: ribosomal RNA, 622 nt
Filed under: uncultured bacterium
Lineage: Bacteria
Description: bacterial SSU rRNA
Rfam family: Bacterial small subunit ribosomal RNA
Source: RNAcentral